AGAACAUGGGUGAUAAGGUCCGUGUUCGAAAGGGAAACAGCCCAGACCACCAGCUAAGGUCCCAAAAUAUAUGUUAAGUGGAAAAGGAUGUGGCGUUGCCCAGACAACUAGGAUGUUGGCUUAGAAGCAGCCAUCAUUUAAAGAGUGCGUAAUAGCUCACUAGUCGAGUGACACUGCGCCGAAAAUGUACCGGGGCUAAACAUAUUACCGAAGCUGUGGAUUGUCCUUUGGACAAUGGUAGGAGAGCGUUCUAAGGGCGUUGAAGCAUGAUCGUAAGGACAUGUGGAGCGCUUAGAAGUGAGAAUGCCGGUGUGAGUAGCGAAAGACGGGUGAGAAUCCCGUCCACCGAUUGACUAAGGUUUCCAGAGGAAGGCUCGUCCGCUCUGGGUUAGUCGGGUCCUAAGCUGAGGCCGACAGGCGUAGGCGAUGGAUAACAGGUUGAUAUUCCUGUACCACCUAUAAUCGUUUUAAUCGAUGGGGGGACGCAGUAGGAUAGGCGAAGCGUGCGAUUGGAUUGCACGUCUAAGCAGUAAGGCUGAGUAUUAGGCAAAUCCGGUACUCGUUAAGGCUGAGCUGUGAUGGGGAGAAGACAUUGUGUCUUCGAGUCGUUGAUUUCACACUGCCGA
Molecule: ribosomal RNA, 626 nt
Filed under: Staphylococcus aureus
Lineage: Bacteria; Bacillati; Bacillota; Bacilli; Caryophanales; Staphylococcaceae
Description: partial 23S ribosomal RNA
Rfam family: Bacterial large subunit ribosomal RNA
Source: RNAcentral